AAAAACAUGUCCUUCUGAUUAUAAUUUAAGGUCUAAUCUGCUCAAUGAGAAUUUAAAUUGCCGCGGUAUUUUGACCGUGCAAAGGUAGCAUAAUAAUUAGUUUUUUUAUUGAAAGCUGGAAUGAAUGAUUGGACGAGAGAGAAGCUGUCUCUAUUAAAUUUAUUUUUAAACUUAACUUUUGAGUAAAAAGGCUCAAAUUUAAUUUAAAGACGAGAAGACCCUAUAGAGUUUAAUAUUUUAUUUAUUAAGGGGGUUUUGGACAUUAAUUUCUUUUAUUAGAUGAUUUAUUUAGUUGGGGUGACUAAAAGAUUAGAUUAACUCUUUUAAAAAUUUAAAUCAUUGAUUUAUGAUUUUAGAAUCUAGUUUUACUAAAUAUAAGAUAAAUUACCUUAGGGAUAACAGCGUAAUUUUUCUUUAGAGUUCUUAUUGUAAGAAAAGUUUGCGACCUCGAUGUUGGAUUAAAAUUAGUUUUUGGUGCAGAAGCUGAAAAAUUAGGUCUGUUCGACCUUUAAAUUUUUACAUGAUCUGA
This 529-nucleotide ribosomal RNA is filed under the name Campsosternus gemma. RNAcentral describes it as "partial 16S ribosomal RNA". It matches the Rfam family "Bacterial large subunit ribosomal RNA", at positions 1809 to 2608 of the family's 2925-position model. The record is from RNAcentral. Lineage: Eukaryota; Metazoa; Arthropoda; Insecta; Coleoptera; Elateridae.